GAUGAACGCUAGCUACAGGCUUAACACAUGCAAGUCGAGGGGCAGCAUGGUCUUAGCUUGCUAAGGCCGAUGGCGACCGGCGCACGGGUGAGUAACACGUAUCCAACCUGCCGUCUACUCUUGGACAGCCUUCUGAAAGGAAGAUUAAUACAAGAUGGCAUCAUGAGUCCGCAUGUUCACAUGAUUAAAGGUAUUCCGGUAGACGAUGGGGAUGCGUUCCAUUAGAUAGUAGGCGGGGUAACGGCCCACCUAGUCUUCGAUGGAUAGGGGUUCUGAGAGGAAGGUCCCCCACAUUGGAACUGAGACACGGUCCAAACUCCUACGGGAGGCAGCAGUGAGGAAUAUUGGUCAAUGGGCGAGAGCCUGAACCAGCCAAGUAGCGUGAAGGAUGACUGCCCUAUGGGUUGUAAACUUCUUUUAUAAAGGAAUAAAGUCGGGUAUGGAUACCCGUUUGCAUGUACUCUAUGAAUAAGGAUCGGCUAACUCCGUGCCAGCAGCCGCGGUAAUACGGAGGAUCCGAGCGUUAUCCGGAUUUAUUGGGUUUAAAGGGAGCGUAGAUGGAUGUUUAAGUCAGUUGUGAAAGUUUGCGGCUCAACCGUAAAAUUGCAGUUGAUACUGGAUAUCUUGAGUGCAGUUGAGGCAGGCGGAAUUCGUGGUGUAGCGGUGAAAUGCUUAGAUAUCACGAAGAACUCCGAUUGCGAAGGCAGCCUGCUAAGCUGCAACUGACAUUGAGGCUCGAAAGUGUGGGUAUCAAACAGGAUUAGAUACCCUGGUAGUCCACACGGUAAACGAUGAAUACUCGCUGUUUGCGAUAUACGGCAAGCGGCCAAGCGAAAGCGUUAAGUAUUCCACCUGGGGAGUACGCCGGCAACGGUGAAACUCAAAGGAAUUGACGGGGGCCCGCACAAGCGGAGGAACAUGUGGUUUAAUUCGAUGAUACGCGAGGAACCUUACCCGGGCUUAAAUUGCAGAUGAAUUACGGUGAAAGCCGUAAGCCGCAAGGCAUCUGUGAAGGUGCUGCAUGGUUGUCGUCAGCUCGUGCCGUGAGGUGUCGGCUUAAGUGCCAUAACGAGCGCAACCCUUGUUGUCAGUUACUAACAGGUUCCGCUGAGGACUCUGACAAGACUGCCAUCGUAAGAUGUGAGGAAGGUGGGGAUGACGUCAAAUCAGCACGGCCCUUACGUCCGGGGCUACACACGUGUUACAAUGGGGGGUACAGAGGGCCGCUACCACGCGAGUGGAUGCCAAUCCCCAAAACCUCUCUCAGUUCGGACUGGAGUCUGCAACCCGACUCCACGAAGCUGGAUUCGCUAGUAAUCGCGCAUCAGCCACGGCGCGGUGAAUACGUUCCCGGGCCUUGUACACACCGCCCGUCAAGCCAUGGGAGCCGGGGGUACCUGAAGUGCGUAACCGCGAGGAGCGCCCUAGGGUAAAACUGGUGAC
Molecule: ribosomal RNA, 1443 nt
Filed under: uncultured organism
Description: SSU rRNA
Rfam family: Bacterial small subunit ribosomal RNA
Source: RNAcentral